GGAACUCUGGAGAAUCUCAUGCUGCAUGAGUGCCGAAGGUGCAAGGCCGGAAACGGCCGAAUCUCUCAGGCCAAAGGACAGAGCA
This 85-nucleotide non-coding RNA is filed under the name bovine gut metagenome. RNAcentral's name for it is "Glycine riboswitch". It matches the Rfam family "Glycine riboswitch aptamer", at positions 9 to 86 of the family's 94-position model. Rfam says of the family: This family represents the bacterial glycine riboswitch. Glycine riboswitches usually consist of two metabolite-binding aptamers domains with similar structures in tandem. The record is from RNAcentral.